AGCGAACGCUGGCGGCAGGCUUAACACAUGCAAGUCGAGCGGGCGUAGCAAUACGUCAGCGGCAGACGGGUGAGUAACGCGUGGGAACAUACCUUUUGGUUCGGAACAACACAGGGAAACUUGUGCUAAUACCGAAUAAGCCCUUACGGGGAAGAUUAUCGCCGAAAGAUUGGCCCGCGUCUGAUUAGCUUGUUGGUGAGGUAACGGCUCACCAAGGCGACGAUCAGUAGCUGGUCNGAGAGGAUGAUCAGCCACAUUGGGACUGAGACACGGCCCAAACUCCUACGGGAGGCAGCAGUGGGGAAUAUUGGACAAUGGGCGCAAGCCUGAUGCAGCGACGCCGCGUGAGGGAUGACGGCCUGGUUGUAAC
RNAcentral lists this ribosomal RNA (370 nucleotides) under uncultured bacterium. Its description in RNAcentral is "bacterial SSU rRNA". It matches the Rfam family "Bacterial small subunit ribosomal RNA", at positions 29 to 429 of the family's 1533-position model. The record is from RNAcentral.